GUUCGUUAGUUACUGAUGAUGGAGCAUUAUCCAAAAAGCUUUUAAUAAAAGUUAUUCAAGGUGUUUUAAGCUAGUAUUUAUUUAUAAAGAGAGAAAUGCAAUAACCCUUCACCAUGCAGAAAUUAGACUGUUUGUCCAGUAUGUGGACAAUGUAUGUAUAAUUUGGAAACAAAAAGAGUGCAACACCAGUAUAAUAAAUGUGCUAAAUGACAAGAUCAUGGAGCUCACAGUUAGGUUAGAACAAUCUAGCAAUGAAACAUUCCACUUUUUGAAUGUCCAAGUAAAAACAGAAAAAGGUAAAUAUACCACCACUAUCUGUAAAAAAACCUACCUACCUACUGAUUAUUAUACCAAUCUGGUCUAAUGAUUACAUGCCAUAUAAACUUGCAGUGUUUAGAGCUAUGUUCAUAAGGAUACACACCCAUAUAAACAAAUGGCACAAUAAAUAUGAAGAGCUUUUGUAUGUAUAUAAUCUAGGCCACAAGUAUAGGUACACUAUUAAAAUCAUGGAAGGCAUCUGGAAUAAGGUGAGUAAACAGCUAGAAAGGCCCCAUGAACCGGACAAUCUUGACCCACCAAAACCACCAAACACCUACAUUCUCAACAGUCGCAUAUCACAAAACCACUGAUAAAAUCCUUAGCAAACAUAUGAGAGGAAAAAUAAGAAAAAUCCUUAGAAGAAGAGCCCCACCCUAUUUGACACUCUAUGCAACAAUAAAGAUCCUAUACCAAAUAAUAAAAAAGCCGGUAUUUAUUCAAUACCUAUAUGUAACAAAAAUGAGGACAGUAUGAGUUAUUACAUUGGCAGCACUAAGAGAAACCUUGAUGUAAGGUUAAAAGAACACAAAGC
RNAcentral lists this long non-coding RNA (850 nucleotides) under Androctonus crassicauda. Lineage: Eukaryota; Metazoa; Arthropoda; Arachnida; Scorpiones; Buthidae. The record is from RNAcentral.